RNAcentral lists this ribosomal RNA (494 nucleotides) under uncultured bacterium. Its description in RNAcentral is "bacterial SSU rRNA". It matches the Rfam family "Bacterial small subunit ribosomal RNA", at positions 355 to 861 of the family's 1533-position model. The record is from RNAcentral.
UGGGGAAUCUUGGACAAUGGGGGCAACCCUGAUCCAGCCAUGCCGCGUGAGUGAUGAAGGCCUUAGGGUCGUAAAGCUCUUUCGCCUGUGAAGAUAAUGACGGUAGCAGGUAAAGAAACCCCGGCUAACUCCGUGCCAGCAGCCGCGGUAAUACGGAGGGGGUUAGCGUUGUUCGGAAUUACUGGGCGUAAAGCGCACGUAGGCGGACCAGAAAGUUGGGGGUGAAAUCCCGGGGGCUCAACCCCGGAACUGCCUCCAAAACUAUUGGUCUAGAGUUCGAGAGAGGUGAGUGGAAUUCCAAGUGUAGAGGUGAAAUUCGUAGAUAUUUGGAGGAACACCAGUGGCGAAAGGCGGCUCACUGGCUCGAUACUGACGCUGAGGUGCGAAAAGUGUGGGGAGCAAAACAGGAUUAGAUACCCUGGUAGUCCACACCGUAAAACGAUGAAUGCCAGUCGUCGGGGUAGCAUGCUAUUCGGUGACACACCUAACGGAUU